This 189-nucleotide ribosomal RNA is filed under the name Triticum aestivum (bread wheat). RNAcentral's name for it is "partial small subunit ribosomal RNA". The record is from RNAcentral. Lineage: Eukaryota; Viridiplantae; Streptophyta; Magnoliopsida; Poales; Poaceae.
GGGGGGGGGGACCGCCGAACAGUUCGUGAGGUUUUGGCCCUCUCAAAAGCUAAUAACCCCAAGCUAGUCUUUCUCUGUGAGACUAGACAAGAUGCAUCUAAAGUGGAGUAGUUGAAGUGGAGGUUGGGUCUGAAGGGCUUCCACGGUGUUAGUAGUGAUGGACGAAGCUGCGGUCUUGCUUUGUUCUGG